GUGGGAGGAUGGAGACAGCAGCCACCAAAGGCUGGGCAAGGCACAGGUCCAGGCUCUAGAUGAAGUCUUCCUUUCCCAAGGGAGGGGAAAGCCAGCAGGAUGUGAACCAGAGGUGGUGCUUUAGGAAAGCCCCUCCAGCCUGGGGAGGUGCUUUUGUCUCCAGACACAUUCCCAGUUCUCAGGAGCAGCAGAACCUGUGCUGUUUCCACCAGAAUCCUCUGAGGCUGAAACAAAGACAAGGAACCCUUUGAGAUGGAAAGAGCCAGAGCAAGUUGUUGUGGGGAAGGAAAAUUAAAAAUGGAUGUGGGCCAUGACAAGGGAAUUGGAUCCAACAGGGCCCAAGAUCAGUGUGGGGUCUGUGGCAGGGACAGCUUCCAGAGCCGGACAGGGAAGGGGACCUUCACCCACACUCCCAAAAAACUGAGAAGGAAAAACACCUGCCUGCAUCUGGCUGCAGCCCUGGAGCUCUGGGGUCUCUGGCACACUCAGGGAUGUGGGAUAAUGCCAGAAUCAUUCAAACCUCGGGAAUAAUGGAAUUAAUAGCAUCCCUUGAGUCUGUUCCAGGCAGGCUCCUGCCCAUCAGCCAUGGGUUACAGAUGGCUGUGGAAGUGAUGGAGGCAUUUAGGGAAUGCUGAUUGUUUUUCCCUCGCUUUGGCAGUCUGGUCAAUAAAAAUACUAAUUGAGCUCUUCCA
RNAcentral lists this long non-coding RNA (692 nucleotides) under Parus major (Great Tit). RNAcentral's name for it is "lncRNA (ENSPMJG00000006387.1)". Lineage: Eukaryota; Metazoa; Chordata; Aves; Passeriformes; Paridae. The record is from RNAcentral.